UUUCCGUAGGUGAACCUGCGGAAGGAUCAUUAUCGUACAAAAUGUGAGGGGCAUGCGAGGGCUGUCGCUGACCCAAAAGUCGUGCACGCCCGAGUGUGUCCUCUUGCAUAAUAAUCCAUCUCACCCUUUGUGCAUCGCCGCGUGGGCACCCUUCGGGAUCAUCUCGGAGGGGGGCUCGCGUUUUCACACAAGCCCCCCUUUUAAAAGUGUAGAAUGACCACAUUUAUGCAAUCAAUACAACUUUCAACAACGGAUCUCUUGGCUCUC
Molecule: unclassified non-coding RNA, 267 nt
Filed under: plant metagenome
Description: partial contains small subunit ribosomal RNA, internal transcribed spacer 1, and 5.8S ribosomal RNA
Source: RNAcentral